CGGCGGACGGGUUAGUAACACGUUGAUAACCUACCUAUAAUACUGGGAUAACUUCGGGAAACCGGAGCUAAUACCGGAUAAUAUAUUGAACCGCAUGGUUCAAUAGUGAAAGACGGUUUUGCUGUCACUUAUAGAUGGAUCCGCGCCGCAUUAGCUAGUUGGUAAGGUAACGGCUUACCAAGGCAACGAUGCGUAGCCGACCUGAGAGGGUGAUCGGCCACACUGGAACUGAGACACGGUCCAGACUCCUACGGGAGGCAGCAGCG
RNAcentral lists this ribosomal RNA (266 nucleotides) under uncultured Staphylococcus sp. Its description in RNAcentral is "partial 16S ribosomal RNA". It matches the Rfam family "Bacterial small subunit ribosomal RNA", at positions 96 to 356 of the family's 1533-position model. The record is from RNAcentral. Lineage: Bacteria; Bacillati; Bacillota; Bacilli; Caryophanales; Staphylococcaceae.